RNAcentral lists this ribosomal RNA (253 nucleotides) under uncultured bacterium. RNAcentral's name for it is "partial 16S ribosomal RNA". It matches the Rfam family "Bacterial small subunit ribosomal RNA", at positions 524 to 776 of the family's 1533-position model. The record is from RNAcentral.
UACGUAGGGUGCAAGCGUUAAUCGGAAUUACUGGGCGUAAAGCGUGCGCAGGCGGUUAUGCAAGACAGGUGUGAAAUCCCCGGGCUUAACCUGGGGACCGCAUUUGUGACUGCAUAGCUGGAGUACGGCAGAGGGGGAUGGAAUUCCGCGUGUAGCAGUGAAAUGCGUAGAUAUGCGGAGGAACACCGAUGGCGAAGGCAGUCCCCUGGGCAUGUACUGACGUUCAUGCACGAAAGCGUGGGGAGCAAACAGG